This 348-nucleotide long non-coding RNA is filed under the name Numida meleagris (helmeted guineafowl). RNAcentral describes it as "lncRNA (ENSNMEG00000000739.1)". The record is from RNAcentral. Lineage: Eukaryota; Metazoa; Chordata; Aves; Galliformes; Numididae.
UGGAUGGUGAGAUAGAAGAGCCUCUACAGAGCUUCUGUGGAUGACAUCCACAGAAUUCAAAUGUAUGCUAAAUUGAAUCAUUAAUAUUCAUACACCAGUGUUACUGCCAAAAGAAAUAAUUUUUACAACAAAUUUAGCUUUCUGCGCUCUGAGCUGUCAAGUCUCUACAGGAUUUUGAAGCUCACAAGCUUCUUUUAAGCUCAAACUGAAUCUAGAAAACAAAACCAUCUUUUAACUUUUAUGAACAUCCAUUGUUCUACCCUUUCUUUUUCCUUUUCCAGACACAAUAAUCCUGUGGAUUCAGCUACCAGUUUUUUUCAGCUUACAACGUUUAUGAAGAGACUAUAA